CCUACGGGAGGCUGCAGUGAGGAAUAUUGGUCAAUGGACGGAAGUCUGAACCAGCCAUGCCGCGUGCAGGAAGACGGCGCUAUGAGUUGUACACUGCUUUUGUACAAAGGUAAACCUGAAUACGUGUAUUCAGCUGAAAGUACUGUACGAAUAAGGAACGGCUAACUCCGUUCCAGCAGCCGCGGUAAUACGGAGGAUCCAAGCGUUAUCCGGAUUUAUUGGGUUUAAAGGGUGCGUAGGCGGAUUGAUAAGUUAGAGGUGAAAUGUCCGAGCUUAACUCGGGAACUGCCUCUAAUACUGUUGAGCUAGAGAGUAGAUGCGGUAGGCGGAAUGUAUGGUGUAGCGGUGAAAUGCUUAGAGAUCAUACAGAACACCGAUUGCGAAGGCAGCUUACCAAUCUAUAUCUGACGUUGAGGCACGAAAGCGUGGGGAGCAAACAGGAUUAGAUACCCCUGUAGUC
This 460-nucleotide ribosomal RNA is filed under the name uncultured bacterium. RNAcentral's name for it is "partial 16S ribosomal RNA". It matches the Rfam family "Bacterial small subunit ribosomal RNA", at positions 338 to 795 of the family's 1533-position model. The record is from RNAcentral.